RNAcentral lists this long non-coding RNA (702 nucleotides) under Nicotiana benthamiana. RNAcentral's name for it is "long non-coding RNA (NBEN_LNC023708)". The record is from RNAcentral. Lineage: Eukaryota; Viridiplantae; Streptophyta; Magnoliopsida; Solanales; Solanaceae.
GGACACACAAUACACGCCUGGAGAUUGAGAGAGUAGGCGCAGCUUUGGAGAGACCCUUUCCAAAAAACGUUCUGCUUUCAUCUUCUCCAAAGGAUCCCUAAAGAGUCCCCUUAUUCACGAACAAACCUUCUCCCAUCAGUUUGUCUUCUUUGACAAAACCAGACCAGCGAAAAACCAAACGGAGUUCUCUUCUCUCACGCCAACCACCACAGCCAGCAUUCCUCAUUCGAGUUGUUGCUUCACCGGAACUGAUCACCGGCGAGUGACAACGCCACUGGCACAGAUUUGGCCAGAAGCUCGAAGAUGCAGCCACGAUUCAAUUAUUCAUACAAAAAAUGAAAAUACUCUGUUUUCUUCUUGCAUCUUCGUGACUCUCGUCUCAAAAAUUAGAGGUGUCGUUUUCGGAUUUUCGUUCCAGAAUGGAGAUUGUUUGAGUUUUGAAAUCGAGUCGAGAUUCAAGGUCGUCGGUGGCAUCGAGGUACUGCCUGUUGGUUUUUCGCUUUGAUUGAGGUGUCGUUCGAAGUCGGUUCGUUUAAGUUCCAUCCGUCUUAAAUUCCGGCGUUAGCAGGCUGGCUUAUGUUGCUUGUGUAAUUGUUGAACACUUUCGCUAAUUGAAAGAUUGAUUUUCAGGUUCAUAAUAUGUUUUCCCCAUCUUAUUUAAAUUUAUUAGAUCUCCAUUACCAGUAAUCUGUUUUACUUUCA